GGUCUUAUAUUCAAGAAAUGAUGUUAGAAUGCAAUUCUAAUGGUGUAAAUGUUACUAAGACUU
This 63-nucleotide transfer RNA is filed under the name Parasphendale agrionina. Its description in RNAcentral is "tRNA-Cys". Lineage: Eukaryota; Metazoa; Arthropoda; Insecta; Mantodea; Mantidae. The record is from RNAcentral.